GAGUUUGAUCAUGGCUCAGAUUGAACGCUGGCGGCAGGCUUAACACAUGCAAGUCGAGCGGAAACGAUGGUAGCUUGCUACCAGGCGUCGAGCGGCGGACGGGUGAGUAACGCUUAGGAAUCUGCCCAGUAGUGGGGGAUAGCCCGGGGAAACUCGGAUUAAUACCGCGUACGCCCUUUUGGGGAAAGCAGGGGAUCUUCGGACCUUGCGCUAUUGGAUGAGCCUAAGUCGGAUUAGCUGGUUGGUGGGGUAAAGGCCUACCAAGGCGACGAUCCGUAGCUGGUCUGAGAGGAUGAUCAGCCGCAUCGGGACUGAGACACGGCCCGAACUCCUACGGGAGGCAGCAGUGGGGAAUAUUGGACAAUGGGGGCAACCCUGAUCCAGCCAUGCCGCGUGUGUGAAGAAGGCUUUCGGGUUGUAAAGCACUUUCAGUGAGGAGGAAGGCCUUAAGGUUAAUACCCUUGAGGAUUGACGUCACUCACAGAAGAAGCACCGGCUAACUCCGUGCCAGCAGCCGCGGUA
Molecule: ribosomal RNA, 522 nt
Filed under: uncultured Gammaproteobacteria bacterium
Lineage: Bacteria; Pseudomonadati; Pseudomonadota; Gammaproteobacteria
Description: bacterial SSU rRNA
Rfam family: Bacterial small subunit ribosomal RNA
Source: RNAcentral